AUGAUGUCUACGGACCAAAGGGGGCUUUCGGGCUCUCGCUCAAAGAGGAACCUAAGCGAGAUUAGCUAGUUGGUGGGGUAAAGGCCUACCAAGGCGACGAUCUCUAGCUGUUCUGAGAGGAAGAUCAGCCACACUGGGACUGAGACACGGCCCAGACUCCUACGGGAGGCAGCAGUGGGGAAUAUUGCACAAUGGGGGGAACCCUGAUGCAGCCAUGCCGCGUGUGUGAAGAAGGCCUUCGGGUUGUAAAGCACUUUCAGACGUGAGGAAGGGUUGUUGGUUAAUACCCAGNCAACAUUGACGUUAGCGUCAGAAGAAGCACCGGCUAACUCCGUGCCAGCAGCCGCGGUAAUACGGAGGGUGCGAGCGUUAAUCGGAAUUACUGGGCGUAAAGCGCACGCAGGCGGUUUGUUAAGCUAGAAGUGAAAGCCCCGGGCUCAACCUGGGAAGGCCUUUUAGAACUGGCAAGCUAGAGUCUUGGAGAGGGGAGUGGAAUUCCAGGUGUAGCGGUGAAAUGCGUAGAUAUCUGGAGGAACAUCAGUGGCGAAGGCGGCUCCCUGGCCAAAGACUGACGCUCAUGUGCGAAAGUGUGGGUAGCGAACAGGAUUAGAUACCCUGGUAGUCCACACCGUAAACGCUGUCUACUAGCUGUGUGUGAUUUUAAAUUGUGCGUAGCGAAGCAAACGCGCUAAGUAGACCGCCUGGGGAGUACGGCCGCA
This 719-nucleotide ribosomal RNA is filed under the name uncultured Aestuariibacter sp. RNAcentral describes it as "bacterial SSU rRNA". It matches the Rfam family "Bacterial small subunit ribosomal RNA", at positions 173 to 890 of the family's 1533-position model. The record is from RNAcentral. Lineage: Bacteria; Pseudomonadati; Pseudomonadota; Gammaproteobacteria; Alteromonadales; Alteromonadaceae.